UCGCGAUGAACGAAGAUAAGGCGAUCUUAAGCAAACUGCUGAGAAAUUUCACGUUCACCCUUGAUCCUGAUCACGAGGUGAAAAAGCACGCGUUUUUAGUGAUGCGAACGGUCAACGGCCUAUACAUGUUUGCUGAGAAGCGGAGUCAAUGAGACGCUUAGACGUUCGAGGCCUGAUAUUACCCAGAUUGCUGCUGUGCAUUUGAAGACGGGAUUUAAGUUCUCGACAUAUGUGCAGACAACAGUGCCAAUUUCUUCCGAAGCUCAGAAAGUGAUUGGCAUCUCUUUUGAUGAUCAUGGCAUAAUGCGUGUAAAUGGUGGAAGUGUUGAUAGUGUAUCAUUUAAAACUUUUCUACAUGAUUGUUUGAUGUGGCUUGCAAAGUUUCCCAGAGCCAUAUUUGUUGCUCAUAAUGGGCGCAGGUUUGAUUAUCCGGUUUUGGUUAGUGCAUUGCUGAACACACACUGUUUUGAAACGUUUUGUAAUUGUGUAAGCAGUUUUGUUGACUCUUUGCCGGUUUAAAAAAAAUCGUAUCCUGGACAGUCACACAAACAGGAAGAUCUAGUGAACGAGUUCUCCAGGCAACCUGCAACGCCCACAGUGCUCCUGAUGAUGUUGAAGCACUGGGAUCUUUGCUUAAAACAUGUAAAAUUACUGACAAUAUGGCCCACAUCUUUACUGUUACUUCAAUCCAUAAUUCAGUUUGUUUAAGUCAUGAAAAGCCUUAAAGGCAAAGAACAUUAGAUUGUAAGACGUGCUGUUGCCUAUAAAAAGUCUAAAGCGACCAACAGCUGAAAACAUUGCGGGAUAUGGACUGGACUUGUGUCAUUUGAAAGCCAUAUUUUCUAGUUCCGGAGAGGAUGACUUUAGGGAUACUUUCAUUGCUAAAAACAAUGAGGGACUACGAAAAGUCACAAACGCAAAAAAUAUUUUAUGUGAAGUGGUCCCUAAAAUCGGUCAGUUUUUCAGUGACGAAAAGUGACGGAACGAGAUAAUAUGGCUUUCAAAUUAUACGCGGCCAGUCAAAAUCACGCAAUGGCUUUAUACUAAUACUAAAUUAUAUACAUCUAGUUGUCAUUAAUCUGGCUGUUUUUAUUAAAAUAUAAGUUGUAUAUUAUUGUGCUACAUGUUUAAAGAAACAUGAUAACUUAUACAAAUUCAAUCUUAUAUAAUUCAAAGUUUGCUAAAUUUCUUCACAUGUCAUGGUUUAUAACUGUAGCUUUUAAUAAGAAACUAGAAAACCCCCAAAAAGAAGUGAUAUACAAAUUUAUACUUAAAUUCAUUGCGUGAAAAUGAAUUGGGGUAGGCAUACUCAAAGUAAAAUUUCUUGAGAUAGGAACGGUAAAACUUUCAGAAAUUCAUUCAGUGUGUAGAAAAUAUGUUGUGUUAAACAAAUAUGUACAAUAUAUGCAUUUUAUAACACUACA
Long non-coding RNA from Dreissena polymorpha, 1424 nucleotides. RefSeq lists it as uncharacterized. NCBI's taxonomy places the organism in Eukaryota, Metazoa, Mollusca, Bivalvia, Myida, Dreissenidae. The transcript is spliced from 3 exons. The record is from RefSeq and is a predicted model, not a curated record.